RNAcentral lists this long non-coding RNA (589 nucleotides) under Homo sapiens (human). RNAcentral describes it as "HSALNT0328714". Lineage: Eukaryota; Metazoa; Chordata; Mammalia; Primates; Hominidae. The record is from RNAcentral.
GUCGACUACCAGGCUGCGUUAGGAGCUACCGUCUUCAGCUUUUUCUCGCUGCUGAGAGCUGUUUUGUUACUCAGUAAAACUCUUCUCCACCGUGCUCACCCUUCAGUUGACCGUGCAACUUCAUUCUUCCUGGACAUAAACCCGGGACCCACAGAACAGCGGGUGCAAAAAGGGCUGUAACGCUUUCCUGGCCGGAUCGCCAAGCUGCAGGUAAGAUGUGCCUGCUUCACCUACUGGCGUGAAUGUAAACUUUCUGAGACCUUCCCAGCCAUGUGGAACUGUCACAUUUCAUUUCAUUUUUAGUGACUCUGCAAUGACCAUGGACAUUAUUUUUUAAUUGUUAAGCAUAUAAACAAACAUGCACACUAACACCCAGGAUGGAUAUAUCUAAGUUUGCUCAUCAGACCGAAAGUUUUCCAAUCUGGCAUGCUCCAGACUGCCAAGUGACAAAUAACAAAAGAAGCUAUGAGACCUGGGAAGAAGCCUGUGCAAAUGAGGAAUCUUGGAGCUAAAUCUCUACUAGCUUAGUGGAAGUCCCUUCUGCUUACAAAUGGAGUGCGUAUUUUUUCCUUUUGCUUUGUUUUUACAC